GUAAUUCGUGGGUAGUAAACAGCACAGGUCGCGCUGUAUAAACGUCGUUGGCCACAGUCUUUCUUUCUUCAAGCUACCGAACAUCCAAGGUAUUAUUUUUUUUAAAUUAAGCUGAACCACAAAGAUGCAGUCCAGUAAAAGUAGUCGUACGAAUAACGCCGACUCGGCACGCAAUAAAGGCGAGUUUAUCGGUUCAUCAACAGACAAAUAUCUACUACCUUCAUCUCACAUUUUAGAUGGCAGACAGUCAAUCGCGGCAAAGGCCAAAAUGAAAAGAUUGCGACUAAACGAGCAAUUGUGUUUAGUUUGCGGUGAUAGAAGUUCUGGUUACCAUUACAACGUGCUCACCUGCGAAGGAUGUAAAGGAUUUUUCCGCCGGAGUUUAACAACAACGACAGUCUACCGGUGUACAAAUAACAACAAUUGCUAUAUUGACAUGUACAUGAGACGUAAAUGCCAAGAAUGUCGCCUGAAAAAGUGCCUGGCGGUGGGAAUGCGAUUGGAACAGAAAAUGACGGUACCCGUGCGUGUCGUCACCAGACUAACCACUAGAGGAAAGAAACAGGCCUUCAAACAUCUUAGCGCCGAACAGCAGCAGCUCAUUAGCCGACUCAUUUCCUAUCAGAAGGAAUACGAUCUGCCAUCAGAAGAAGACUUGAAAAAAAUAUCGAUGUCGGGCACAGAGCAAAUGAACGCAGAAGCCAAAUUCCAGUACAUGACGGAAAUGACGAUUCUGACUGUGAAGCUGACGGUGGAUUUUUCUAAACGAUUACCCGGUUUCGACACGAUAUUGCGGGACGACCAAAUCACGCUGCUUAAAGCCUGUUCGAGUGAAGUGAUGAUGUUGCGCUGCGCACGACGCUAUGAUGUCAAAACCGAUUCCAUCAUCUUUGCCAACGAUCAAAGACAUGACCGUCAAUCGCUCAGUAUGGCUGGAAUUGGCCAUACUGCCGAUUCCAUCUUCAAUUUCGGUAAACUGUUGUCCGCCAUGAAAGUGGACGAUGCCGAAUACGCUCUACUCACUGCCAUUGACAUCUUUUCAGAACGACCGGGACUAGUGGAAGGGCGAAAGGUGGAAAAGAUUCAAGAAAUCUACUUGCAAACGCUGCAGGCUUACGUGAUUGGUCGUCGAAGGCCAAUGGCCGUCAACCUUGCCAAGCUCCUAUCCGUGCUAAUUGAGCUGCGCAUGCUCAGUAAGCUCAGUUCUGACAUGUGCUACUCGCUGAAGCAUAAAAACAAGAAAUUACCGCCAUUCCUUGUCGAAGUAUGGGACAUUCAAUAAUAUUUCUUUAGAUAAAAUAGAUUCAAUUUGGUUUAGACACAACGCAUACGGAGGGAAAACCUUCUCCGUACAUGAAAGUACCACUUGAAAUACUGCAUAAAACAUUUAGUGUAAACGGUUAAAGGCUUUUUUUUUACGAAUCGACGAAAUUGACGGUGAAACAAUUCGCAAUUCACGCAACCCUUAAGGUAUAAAACAGAUUGCAGCUUAAAGAGUUGUACGCUACUCCAUUGGAAACAGCUGAGCUGCUGGCCGUUGAAUUCAAUUCACUGCUGUAUGUAUCUGCCUUACGUUGGGGAAAUAAAGCUUUCAAAGGGAGCCUUGUUUUUCUGGAUUUUCAAUGAAAAAAUUCUUAACUUGACAAUCUUUAGAUGUGGAAAGAAGAAUAAGAUCAUUGAUUUCAUGAGGGAAACAAAAUGGAGUCGAGUUUUUAGAAGCCUAAGGUAUUCAAAUAAAUGCAACUAAUCAAAUGUGAUAAUGAAACGAAAGCAUAAUAGCAAAAUCCAUUUGCAAUGGCCGCAAGAGUGUAAACGCAAAGUUAAAAAAAUACGGUCGCCGAACCCAAGACAAAGAAUUUUCCUUCAGUAACAACAUGACUGUCGUCUGCUACGGUACGAAAGAAUCAAAUGUUUAACAGCGAAAGGAAUGAAACUUAGCUUUACAUAAAAUUUAAAAAAUGCUCAAUCGCUUCUCAAUGAAAAAUAGCUCAUUUCAUUACAAUAAUCUUGGAUGCUACUAUAAAUUUUUGUGCAAUAUGGUAGCGGUAGGCUUUUCGAAAAGUCUACUAAAGAGUAAAAGAAAUGAAAGGCAUUUUCACACAUCUAGAUAUUUAUCCCAGAGUCUUGUACUAGGGAUAGAAACUAGUUGUGAUGAUACCGGUGCAGCAAUAGUUGACUC
Daphnia magna is the source of this 2179-nucleotide RNA transcript. It is a transcript of the gene named probable tRNA N6-adenosine threonylcarbamoyltransferase, mitochondrial, with no coding region annotated. Lineage: Eukaryota; Metazoa; Arthropoda; Branchiopoda; Diplostraca; Daphniidae. The record is from RefSeq and is a predicted model, not a curated record. The transcript has 6 exons.